RNAcentral lists this ribosomal RNA (433 nucleotides) under uncultured bacterium. RNAcentral's name for it is "partial 16S ribosomal RNA". It matches the Rfam family "Bacterial small subunit ribosomal RNA", at positions 29 to 507 of the family's 1533-position model. The record is from RNAcentral.
AACGAACGCUGGCGGCAUGCCUAACACAUGCAAGUCGAACGAGACCUUCGGGUCUUGUGGCGCCCGGGUGCGUCACGCGUGGGAACCUUCCCUUAUGUUCGGAAUACCUCCCCGAAAGGGGUGCUAAUACCGGAUCAUGUCUUCUGACCAAAGAUUUAUCGCCUUUGGAUGGGCCCGCGUUGGAUUAGCUAGUUGGUAGGGUAAAAGCCUACCAAGGCGACGAUCCAUAGCUGGUCUGAGAGGAUGAUCAGCCACACUGGGACUGAGACACGGCCGAGACUCCUACGGGAGGGAGCAGUGGGGAAUAGUGGACAAUGGGCGAAAGCCUGAUCCAGCAAUGACGGGUGAGGGAUGAAGGCCGGAGGGUUGUAAAGCGCUUUUAACCGGGAUGAUAAUGACAGUACCGGGAGAAUAAGCUCCGGCUAACUCCGUG